Phyllostomus hastatus (greater spear-nosed bat) is the source of this 942-nucleotide long non-coding RNA. RefSeq lists it as uncharacterized. The record is from RefSeq and is a predicted model, not a curated record. The transcript is spliced from 3 exons. Lineage: Eukaryota; Metazoa; Chordata; Mammalia; Chiroptera; Phyllostomidae.
AGUUGUUCAGCUUUAAUUCUUACAACUGGCUCGUUUUAGAAAUGAGGAAGCUGAGGUUUAGAAAGCUUAAGAAAUUUAUGGAGUUGCAGAGCGGCAUCUGAACCCUGGUCUGGGACCUCAUAUCCCCUUCACAACUAUUCUUGUGUUUCAGGGCAAGAUAUUGGAACAUGAACCAGGUCUGGGGCCAUGUAUCCAGUAUCUCUCUGCUUCCAAAAACCUAACUAUUUCUCUCUGCCAAUGGAAAGAAGUGCAUCUUUUACAACGAAAGAAAAACAAAUCAUCCUUCAGCAGGAAGAAAAGUGCUCUCUCUUGAAGCUUGGUCAGAAUGUUCUGCUUAACACCUUAACACCGGAACAGGGGUCUGCAACUCCUGUUUCCCAGGAUUUCUCUUCUCCCUCCCCUACUCACCCCUGCCUUCUAAGCCAAGGCUGCCUACUUGCCCAGAUCUCCAGAGGAGUGAAUUCCUUCCCUGCAUCCUGGAUCACCUUCGUCACGGUUAAUCUCUCCAAAGGCCAUAUCUAGUAAACAUGAGUUGUCUCUAGCUCUCUUGGAAAUUGUUUGUGAACUUGCCUUGGAUUCAUCCGUCUCCAUGUACAUGGAAAUGUGAUUUAUGUAUUCAGUUUAAGUGGACUGUUUAGGGGCCUUGUUAUUCUUGUAGAAAUCUUAUUCAUUGCCUGAGAUCUGAAGAAGAAACUUCUUUGUAACAGCCAAAAUAAUCUUCAGGUCAGUUGCAAUUUAAAAAUAAGGGCAUCCCUUUGUUCUCUUUUUCAGAAAGAUAAAUGUUAAAUCCACUUCAGCUGAAACUUUAAGGGAAAAAAUACAAUUAAAACUUUGCUUAGAGCUGAUUUUGAAUGCUGAAUAUUAAAUGCCAUCAACAAUAUAAAGGUCAGUUUUUAAUUCAGGAAACUUUGAUUAAACAUCUGCCACAUGUAAGCAAGAAUU